AGAGUUUGAUCCUGGCUCAGGACGAACGCUGGCGGCGUGCCUAAUACAUGCAAGUAGAACGCUGAAGAGAGGAGCUUGCUCUUCUUGGAUGAGUUGCGAACGGGUGAGUAACGCGUAGGUAACCUGCCUUGUAGCGGGGGAUAACUAUUGGAAACGAUAGCUAAUACCGCAUAACAAUGGAUGACACAUGUCAUUUAUUUGAAAGGGGCAAUUGCUCCACUACAAGAUGGACCUGCGUUGUAUUAGCUAGUAGGUGAGGUAACGGCUCACCUAGGCGACGAUACAUAGCCGACCUGAGAGGGUGAUCGGCCACACUGGGACUGAGACACGGCCCAGACUCCUACGGGAGGCAGCAGUAGGGAAUCUUCGGCAAUGGGGGCAACCCUGACCGAGCAACGCCGCGUGAGUGAAGAAGGUUUUCGGAUCGUAAAGCUCUGUUGUAAGUCAAGAACGAGUGUGAGAGUGGAAAGUUCACACUGUGACGGUAGCUUACCAGAAAGGGACGGCUAACUACGUGCCAGCAGCCGCGGUAAUACGUAGGUCCCGAGCGUUGUCCGGAUUUAUUGGGCGUAAAGCGAGCGCAGGCGGUUUGAUAAGUCUGAAGUUAAAGGCUGUGGCUCAACCAUAGUUCGCUUUGGAAACUGUCAAACUUGAGUGCAGAAGGGGAGAGUGGAAUUCCAUGUGUAGCGGUGAAAUGCGUAGAUAUAUGGAGGAACACCGGUGGCGAAAGCGGCUCUCUGGUCUGUAACUGACGCUGAGGCUCGAAAGCGUGGGGAGCGAACAGGAUUAGAUACCCUGGUAGUCCACGCCGUAAACGAUGAGUGCUAGGUGUUGGAUCCUUUCCGGGAUUCAGUGCCGCAGCUAACGCAUUAAGCACUCCGCCUGGGGAGUACGACCGCAAGGUUGAAACUCAAAGGAAUUGACGGGGGCCCGCACAAGCGGUGGAGCAUGUGGUUUAAUUCGAAGCAACGCGAAGAACCUUACCAGGUCUUGACAUCCCGAUGCUAUUUCUAGAGAUAGAAAGUUACUUCGGUACAUCGGUGACAGGUGGUGCAUGGUUGUCGUCAGCUCGUGUCGUGAGAUGUUGGGUUAAGUCCCGCAACGAGCGCAACCCCUAUUGUUAGUUGCCAUCAUUCAGUUGGGCACUCUAGCGAGACUGCCGGUAAUAAACCGGAGGAAGGUGGGGAUGACGUCAAAUCAUCAUGCCCCUUAUGACCUGGGCUACACACGUGCUACAAUGGUUGGUACAACGAGUUGCGAGUCGGUGACGGCAAGCUAAUCUCUUAAAGCCAAUCUCAGUUCGGAUUGUAGGCUGCAACUCGCCUACAUGAAGUCGGAAUCGCUAGUAAUCGCGGAUCAGCACGCCGCGGUGAAUACGUUCCCGGGCCUUGUACACACCGCCCGUCACACCACGAGAGUUUGUAACACCCGAAGUCGGUGAGGUAACCUCUUGGAGCCAGCCGCCUAAGGUGGGAUAGAUGAUUGGGGUGAAGUCGUAACAAGGUA
Molecule: ribosomal RNA, 1506 nt
Filed under: metagenome
Description: bacterial SSU rRNA
Rfam family: Bacterial small subunit ribosomal RNA
Source: RNAcentral